Molecule: long non-coding RNA, 3932 nt
Organism: Gallus gallus (chicken)
Lineage: Eukaryota; Metazoa; Chordata; Aves; Galliformes; Phasianidae
Exons: 3
Source: RefSeq, a predicted model, not a curated record
ACAAAAGAAAAAUUUCUCCUACAAUAGUAUGAGAAGGUAAGACCAGAAAGGUUUCACCAGAAAGGGUGACUAUUGGUCACACUGUUUGAAAUGCUAGUGGAACAUGACAAAUAAAUUGUCCUUUUUCCCAUAUUCAUCUCCUCUUCUUGCCUAUGUUUACCUUCUACAUCUUUACUUCAGAGAAGUAGUUGGAGGACUCAGUAACCCUAGUUCCAAAAGAGGAAAUUGCCUUAGUUCAAAGAAUUUCUCUCUUUAUCUUACUUUUGUGUAUUUGUGUGUGUAUGUGUGGGUAAGAAUUACAUCUCAGCAUGAUGGGUUUUUUUUGUUUUUUUUGUUUUUUUUUUAAAUGUUCCAUUUUAAGUCUAUCCCUUUACUUUAGGAGGCAGAGAGCUUUUCUCUCCAGUAUGGCAGAAGAGCAGGGGAUCUAGUUUCAGGCCGACUCCUGACCUGGAACACUUUUGUUUUGCUGGCUAACCCAAUGCCAGUGGCUACAAGGCUAAGCUGGACUGGUUAAGUUUCUCCAGUGAAAUGCAAAAUGAGAUCUUCUGCUUUUCCUGAGCUUAGAUAAAGUGUUGUUUUCAAGUAGUUGUUGAGAGAGUGUGGUGAAAGCUAUCUUCAAAGCAGAAAAAAGCAGUUAGCACAUAAGUUACCUUUCCUGAUAGCUGUUCAUAAAAACACACUGAAUAUUCUCAUCUAGAGUCAACAUAUUUAGUUUUUCCACAGCAGAGUUCUAUACCUAAGACAGGAUUUAUAUGCUGUAAACAAAGUGAAAGGCAUUUCAGAAUUAUCAAGUUAAUAUAAGAGGCAUUCCUUAUUUCUAUAUCUGACCCUUGAAUGACCUAAUAAAUAAAUUAACAUUCCAAGUCCCCUAUCGCACAAGCAAGAGGAAGGCCUUAUCCGGCCUCUGCUUAAUGAAAACAAUGUAGUUGAUAAACCUAAUCCUCAAAGAUAUGUAACCUGAGUUUGUUAACCAGUAGUUUUGAGAGCAGAGAAGUGCGUGUUAGGAGCAAAGAUGCAAGAGCACCAUCAUUACCUUUAUAAAACUACUUAUGUACCUACAGAUAGGUUUCCUGUGUCAGGUGUGCCUCUCCCGCCCAAAUCCUCCAAAGUAACACUGCACAGUAAUUCAAGAGAUUCAAGCCAAAUAAAAUCAAGUUUCAGUGCUUCACAGACUCAGGUAUUCAUUUUACUUUAGCUCUGCAGUGUUCUCCCAUUUUGACUUCUAUCUGUAAUAACAGAGCUCGUUUGUACUAUUUACAUAAAGAGGUUUUACCGUCUAUUUUGUAAGCAUAUCUCCACACACAAAUCUGCUUUCUAAGGUCAGACACCCGCAGGAAGAAAUCCAAUAAGUCAGAUAAAGACUAUUACUGAAAACAUUAUAAUGUACUUUGUCAUCACAGGUGUGCACUUGUCUCUAGUAAUGACUUAAAGCAAAGACUUUUUAAAUGUCAUUAGUUAAAGCCAAAAUUAUAUUUGCCUUUGUACGAAAGGGAAUUAUGUACCUCAUAACAAUUAUUUUCUGCUCUUGAAUAGCACACAAACAAUACCAUCAUAUCUCCAUUCCAGAAGCAGAUUUGAAAAUGUGUCAUUGGGAACAAGGGGAAGAAAGCUAAUCCGAGAUACCACAGUCCAAAACAGAUGCCAAAAUCAUUUAAGCUUCAUAGUAAGACACAUGCCAUCCAUUAACGAGAUAGAUUGAUCUAAAAUACAAACUCAGAACUGAAGACUGAGUGUAUUUAAACAAAGCUUUAUUGAACAAAAUGUCUUUGUAUUUUUUCAUAUUGCUUGCAGGGGUAUUUGUGUUAUGAAUAUGUGAGGAAAAAUGCAGAACAGUGACUUCUGUUUUAAUACUAACUUAAUUAUUGCAGACAAUUAGUUUUUUUUUCUAAGCUAGAAACAUGCAACUGUUGCUACUUUAACAAACAAGUAAGCAAAACCUAAGCAUAAACAUGCAUUGAUAGAAAUACAUUACUGCCCUAUGCUUUUAUACUAAGAGUAAAACAGUGAUGAAUUUGUAUUCUGAACUUUUAUACCAGACAAUUAUGUCCUGACAUAUUUCCUAAAGUCCUAAGUAUUCAAAUCAGUAGACAAUUGUUUUUUUUUGUUUUUUUUUCCAGUUCUACCUUGUGUAUAAUUAAUGCAUCUAUAAAGCAUUUAUUCUGCACUUCCUCUGCAUCAUAAACAACCUUAAGCAGUGUUGUGUUUCACACAGGACUAGGGGAUAGUAUUCAAGUAAACUACAGAGGCUGAUUUCAACAGAAAAUACAUGGUGCUUGCAAGAACUCUCUCUAGGGUGCCCUGUGACCUUUGCUUUCUACUAAGUCAGUAUUUUUGCUUCCUGAAUUAUGCAAUGCAUUACAUUAGCAAAGCUUAAACUAUGAUAAGACCAAAACUUGUUUUCUCAUGAAUACAAUUAAGGGAUUUUCUAUUAAACAAUUUCCUUAAAGAAGUAAUACACGUAAUUCAAACACAAAAUUAAUUUGGAGAUCUGUUUUAUAACAGAAAAAUGUUUAGAUUCCUCCACAACAUAUUUUCCCCUGAAAUUACACCAAGAUUUAAAGAUAUCCUCAUUAUUUUAUUAAAAAAAGAAAUCUUUAUAAAAAAGUUAUAAAGUUAUAUAAGUUAACAUAAAAGUUAUCUAAAAUGAUUAAAAUUGAAGUGAAACUACAGUCUUUAUAAUCUCAGAAAGACCUGAUUAGUCAGAAGUUAUUUAACCUGCACACUGCAUACAUAUUUCAAACUUUGCUUCUUAGAUGGACUCCUAGGAAUUAGGUCUUAAAAGUCUGUGGAGCUUAAUGGGGUUCAGACUCUAAAGGUAGCAAAGGAGGAUUAUUGUAGGAUUAACACACCAGCGCUCAUUUUGUGUCAGUUUUGCAGCAGUAUCCCCUCUUGCAUCCCUUUACCAUUAAAUUUAUUCUGAUUUUAAACUACCAAAACCAGCAUCAGAAUUAAAUUCUUAGUCAUUCUCAAAUAUCACCCUACACAUAAGCAUCAUCGCUGUCAAAGCUAUGACCUCACUUGUGAUUAUGUUCUCACUCAGAUUCCACAGGCUGCAUGUCAAGGUUGUUUAGGCUCCUGAAGGCGUCUUGAAUGUACAUAAUCUUGACAAUCCCUUAAGGCAGUCUUAAGAUUCCUACUAACUUACUGUAUGUUAUGAAAUCCUUUUUUAUUUUCAUAAACUGUAGGAUUGAGCCUUUCAAUGACGGCCUUGCUAAUUUGACUGGAAAAAGUCUUUUUAAAAUAAGUUCACAAAUCACCAUCUUUUUAAACAAAAAUCAUGCGUAUUAUACUGGGAUCAAUUAAACCAUUAUUCAUAUACAGGGGCUGAACAGACCAUCCUGUGUGCACACAAGCACGCACAACCAGCAGUGCUCUCCUUUCUGUUCUCACCCUUUUCCCUCUUUUUUGUGUUACUCUUCCUGCAACACUGGACCCCAGGAUCGAUGUUUUGGACCUUCAUCAAUAACACCAGCAUGACAGCAGACAGCCCCUGCCGCUUAGUCAUCUGAAUGUGGAGCAAUGAGAGGCCUUCAGCACAGAAUCCCAGCAUCAACCACCACAAGUCAGCUAUGCACGAAAUGCACAGCUUACAACUGAAUCACUGUGCAGUCAGAAAAGGAAAGGGGAAAAAUAUGAAAAGCAAAGACUGCACGUGUACAAGUACUCAACCACCAAGCACAAUUCAACUUGGGGUCACAGUCACAGAGCUUUCUUCCUGCUGUGCUGAUUCAGCAUUCUUUUUCAUAAAUGCAAGCAAAGAACCAGAAGCCAAAAGAAAGAAGAGAAUAUAACGCUAACCACUGCAACUUACCUACUUGAUCAGAAAAAAUAAAAGGACCAGAAGGCAAAGUGCACUGCAGAUUGUACCCAUAAAAUAGAGUAUGAUGGAAAAAUAAACUGAUUGAAAUGCCUUUAUUUUUCCAAAAGAUAAA